GGCCAAAAGACGACUGCGCAGUAGAAAGUGUAAGGAAAUCUCGCAGCGAGGCAGGAGGCGGUCGAGAGCAGACUAGAUUUAUAUUAUUGAGUUGAUUGAUAGCUGUUUUGGGCCUUAUGACAUUGAAUGUAACCGAAACUGAAGCUCGAACUGUUUUGCAUUGGUUUUCCUCUUGGGACAGUGAAGAGAAAGAUAAAUUUUUAGCACUUCUUUUAGAAAAGGCACUACCUAAUAACGUGUCUUUUCUCACAGAAUGUUUAGAUUAUCUGUCCAUGCGUGAAAAUUGUCCAAAUAUUUUCAGGUGCCAAUUAAAAUUAUUUUCUGUCUGGUUCGACCAGUGGUCCGACAGAGAAAGAAAUAAUUUUUUACGAAAAUU
This is a long non-coding RNA of Centruroides sculpturatus (bark scorpion), 376 nucleotides long. RefSeq lists it as uncharacterized. The transcript has 3 exons. The record is from RefSeq and is a predicted model, not a curated record. NCBI's taxonomy places the organism in Eukaryota, Metazoa, Arthropoda, Arachnida, Scorpiones, Buthidae.